The sequence is a telomerase RNA, 1704 nucleotides long. It matches the Rfam family "Ascomycota telomerase RNA", at positions 206 to 1858 of the family's 1858-position model.
CCAAGCAUCUCGCCCUUCCAACAGUCCUCUGAUACCACCUUCUGAAAGGAAGGAUGGAAUCAGAACUUAACCCUAAGUAUUUGUUGGUGCUAGUCUUGCGGUCACAGUUGUCCCUCUGGAUUAUUAGAUCCUCGCCGGCAGAGUGACGGUUACAAUGCCGAAAGGUGGCGUGGUCCGAUCUCGGCUUGAAGGUUGAAAGGCUGGGGGGAUAGUCCAGAUGUCGAGAGGCAUGAAACAGAUUUCUCCUAUGAGCCGUUCUGGUGAUACCUCCAUGCGGGGGAGCUCGUCAGGGUCUUCGGCUGGGCACUAUACUCUGAUCAUUACGGGUUGUCUUUGUCGAUGCAAAUACGGAUCGCUCGAAGAGGAGAAGUAACUUGGGUCAGGUCAGGCACUUCCUCGAGAAGUUGUCUUUGGGAUCUGCAUCCAGCUGCUGGAUUGGUCGACGCGGUCUCUAUACACUCUGGCGGCAAUGUGGCUGGGGCUCUUUUGGAAUAUAUGGCUGGGCACAAUAUCCUUUUUGGAAGUCUUCAAACAGACUGUCUCGAUCUCACGUGUUUCCACUUCCUCGCGGUUGUGAUUUGGCCUUGAUCUCACUCGUCCGAACCACUUGUUCUCAGGUGCCGCGAGAUUUCAAGAGCCUCCGAACAGAAACGCGCUGUUUGAGAUGGCCCUUCAACGCACUUCAGCGCUGCGAAAAUUUGACGUAUUGGCUAUGCCCCCAAGUUAGCAUAUUUCAGCUGACCACCCCUUUCAUAUCGUCUGAUGAGAUGGGCUCGCGCGAUUCAGCAGUGUAGACAUCCCGUACCUCUUCUACUCUGCGCUGCUUCGGCAAUAAGGGAAUUACGUCCAACCUCUUCUGCCAUCAGAACUCGCAAUUUAUGCGCAGUCAGCUCACAAGACCAUUGUCGCGGUAACAGCCACAGACUUUGUCACGUAAGUGUAAUCCCGAUCAGCCGCAUCAACUUUCUCCCAGAGGCUAGGUCCUAUGGUGACGGAAGACGCCAACACAUCGUCUCCCAUCCUUGCGAUGCUUGACACACCUCCCUCCCCGUCCCAUCUUAACCAUAGAUGGAAACGGCAGAGAUGACACGCGGCUUUUGUUGAUGUCUUUUGUCCGUCAUUGCCCUGCUUCAGUUUUCAGGCAGAGGAAACAUAAAACUAAUCUCAGAGGGUCCUGCUUAUCACACAGAGAGAAGCUUCGUCGGUUGCAAUUGAGCUGUCUGAGCGUCCUUGAUCUGGUCUCUUGGAUGUCCGGUCUACUGCGGGUUCGAAUCAAGCUGAAGUUAGAAGAACGGGUCAAUCUAUCUGGACAGGUUACAGUAGUAGGAUCAGUCGAUGAGAAUUGCGGAGUGCAAGGGACUAGAUGCUGUGGUAAGAACGUCCUAUCUGACUCAUACUGUAUCCACAGACUUGGUCUACUUCAUAUGGGGAGGAAGGAGAUCACCCGGCGUCCGGGAUGGGACCCAUCUCGAGUUGGAGUCAAAGCUUAGUGCUUGUCUGUCCUGGGUAGCGCAGAGUGGUUUGCUCGACUUUCUAUUCUGAGACCUGCUUCUUCGGUGGUGCUGUGGCGGGUUUUCGACUUGCUUAGGUGUGGGUGUUGCGUUGCUUGGUUGGCCUAUCAAGGGACAGACCCUAUGGUUGGUAGUCCCGGGCUGUCCUCUUUUCUUGUCAAAAAGACUCGAGGCAGCCCCUCCUUUUUCGGGG